GGCGACGUGGCCGAGUGGCUUAGGCAAUGGUCUGCAAAACCAUGUACACCGGUUCGACUCCGGUCGUCGCCUCAA
Molecule: transfer RNA, 75 nt
Filed under: Actinomycetota bacterium
Lineage: Bacteria; Bacillati; Actinomycetota
Description: Actinobacteria bacterium (sediment metagenome) tRNA-Cys
Rfam family: tRNA
About the family: Transfer RNA (tRNA) molecules are approximately 80 nucleotides in length. Their secondary structure includes four short double-helical elements and three loops (D, anti-codon, and T loops).
Source: RNAcentral